CAGAAUGCUUGCAAUUUUCUGCAUUCUGAUGCCUAAACAUCUGGAAUGGGAAAAGGGCAGUUGCCAAGAGACAAACCGGUCACGCUCGGUAAGUAACAUUUGUCUGAAUCACAUUAAAUUUAUAGACGAAUGAGUUCUUUCCGUUGCUUUAUUACUUGACUGACAUAAAAGGGAUUUUAUAUUUACGUAUUUAAAGAAAACAAUGUACCAGUUUGUACUUUGUCCCUUUGAUUUCUAUUCAACUUCAACUCAAUUAUGGGGCGAAAAUUUGCAAAUAGGGCACCAAUUCUUCACCUGCAGCCAAUUCUGUAUGCAUGUCACGUGAUACCUAUGCUCACACUGCAACAUCCCUACUUCAUCUCCAUUUACAUAUUCUUCCUGAAAAACAAAAAUCCAUGAAUUCUAUCUGGUUGAACUCAAACCAGUCCUGAUAUGAGAUGACCAGAGCAAAACUAGCAUAAAGUUUGCAUUGAUAGAUGGUGUGGAAAGUUCUAUAGGGAAGCACCUGACAUAUACUACAUUUGGUAUCAUCCUUUUCACCGUCACAGUCGACACUAGCACCUUCAUAGAUGCUUUUCAUAAGGCAUUUUGACAAUGCUUCUUCUGAUAGCACAGUGCUCACAUUACCCAUCCUUUCUUCUAGAUCUAGUAAUUCCUGUCAUGAUAUCAAGCAAAGCUAAUCUCCAUUGUUUUAUCUUUAACAAUAAACUUAGACUAGAAUACAUCUUAGUGAUGAAACAAAAACAAACCUCAUAUGACAUAUUGUCUAUAUCCAGCCUCAUGUCACUAUGCUGGUCGUAAAAGUUUAGGCCAUCAAGAAACAAGGUGGUCUCUAGAGCAAGUAAUUGCUGCAAGACAGAAACCGAAUCAACAAAAGACAACCCAUCGGGUAGAAAGAGACACUUCAAAACUAGUUACCUCAUGUGUCAAAUCUUCAUCUUGUUCGAUCCUCUCUAAUGCUAAUAACACCUGCAUAAAAAAUAAAACAAUAGCGAUAGAUGAAGCUUCAGUACUUCAAACAAACUGCUAAUGCUUUAUGUUAGCCUCUCUCUAGAGAGUAUAUUCAGUCCCUUCCUCAAGUUCCACAGAAAGAAGGAAUAUAGAAUAUAAAGAUAUAAAUAUGUUAAUAUACCUCCCCAAUGCCAUCAAUAUUGUAGUGCCAGAAGCUAUCACGGUUAACACCGACUUCUGAAGGACUAGAUGGCAUGGUAUCGAGUAAACUCUCGCUUAUAUUGUCUGGUUGAGUGUAAGAACUAGCACGAGUUGAGGCAAUUUCUGUGGAAACAGGAUCAUUCAAAUUGAUAGGUAUAUCAGAUCGAGGCACUUGGGGCAUGAUCACGUGGUACUCGUUUGAACUUAACCUAUUUCCAUUUGCUUGGUUAGAGAAUCUCCCUCUACCAUAACUACUGUUUGACCUCCUGGUCCGAACUGAAGCAG
This 1437-nucleotide long non-coding RNA is filed under the name Gossypium raimondii (Peruvian cotton). RNAcentral's name for it is "long non-coding RNA (GRAI_LNC010959)". Lineage: Eukaryota; Viridiplantae; Streptophyta; Magnoliopsida; Malvales; Malvaceae. The record is from RNAcentral.